This 251-nucleotide ribosomal RNA is filed under the name uncultured prokaryote. RNAcentral describes it as "partial 16S rRNA". It matches the Rfam family "Bacterial small subunit ribosomal RNA", at positions 525 to 775 of the family's 1533-position model. The record is from RNAcentral.
ACGUAGGUGGCGAGCGUUGUCCGGAAUUACUGGGUGUAAAGGGAGCGCAGGCGGGGAGACAAGUCAGCCGUGAAAACUACUGGCUUAAAUGGGAGAGUGCAGUUGAAACUGUUUUUCUUGAGUGGAGCAGAGGCAGGCGGAAUUCCGAGUGUAGCGGUGAAAUGCGUAGAUAUUAGGAGGAACACCAGUGGCGAAGGCGACUUUCUGGACUGUAACUGACACUGAGGUACGAAAGCGUGGGGAGCAAACAG